GACGAACGCUGGCGGCGUGCUUAACACAUGCAAGUCGAGCGGUAAGGCCCUUUCGGGGGUACACGAGCGGCGAACGGGUGAGUAACACGUGGGUGACCUGCCCUUAGCUCUGGGAUAAGCCUGGGAAACUGGGUCUAAUACCGGAUAUGACUCCAUGACGCAUGUUGUGGGGUGGAAAGCCUUGUGCGGCUAGGGAUGGCCCGCGGCCUAUCAGCUUGUUGGUGGGGUGAUGGCCACCAAGGCGACGACGGGUAGCCGGCCUGAGAGGGCGACCGGCCACACUGGGACUGAGACACGGCCCACGACUCCUACGGGAGGCAGCAGUGGGGAAUCUUGCGCAAUGGGCGAAAGCCUGACGCAGCGACGCCGCGUGGGGA
Molecule: ribosomal RNA, 377 nt
Filed under: uncultured bacterium
Lineage: Bacteria
Description: bacterial SSU rRNA
Rfam family: Bacterial small subunit ribosomal RNA
Source: RNAcentral